RNAcentral lists this ribosomal RNA (600 nucleotides) under Roseovarius sp. RNAcentral describes it as "bacterial SSU rRNA". It matches the Rfam family "Bacterial small subunit ribosomal RNA", at positions 99 to 735 of the family's 1533-position model. The record is from RNAcentral. Lineage: Bacteria; Pseudomonadati; Pseudomonadota; Alphaproteobacteria; Rhodobacterales; Roseobacteraceae.
CGGACGGGUUAGUAACGCGUGGGAACGUGCCCUUCACUACGGAAUAGUCCCGGGAAACUGGGUUUAAUACCGUAUACGCCCUUCGGGGGAAAGAAUUUCGGUGAAGGAUCGGCCCGCGUUAGAUUAGAUAGUUGGUGGGGUAACGGCCUACCAAGUCUACGAUCUAUAGCUGGUUUUAGAGGAUGAUCAGCAACACUGGGACUGAGACACGGCCCAGACUCCUACGGGAGGCAGCAGUGGGGAAUCUUAGACAAUGGGCGCAAGCCUGAUCUAGCCAUGCCGCGUGAGUGAUGAAGGCCUUAGGGUCGUAAAGCUCUUUCGCCAGGGAUGAUAAUGACAGUACCUGGUAAAGAAACCCCGGCUAACUCCGUGCCAGCAGCCGCGGUAAUACGGAGGGGGUUAGCGUUGUUCGGAAUUACUGGGCGUAAAGCGCGCGUAGGCGGAUUGGAAAGUUGGGGGUGAAAUCCCAGGGCUCAACCCUGGAACUGCCUCCAAAACUAUCAGUCUAGAGUUCGAGAGAGGUGAGUGGAACUCCGAGUGUAGAGGUGAAAUUCGUAGAUAUUCGGAAGAACACCAGUGGCGAAGGCGGCUCACUGGCUC